This 437-nucleotide ribosomal RNA is filed under the name uncultured Papillibacter sp. Its description in RNAcentral is "partial 16S ribosomal RNA". It matches the Rfam family "Bacterial small subunit ribosomal RNA", at positions 341 to 792 of the family's 1533-position model. Lineage: Bacteria; Bacillati; Bacillota; Clostridia; Eubacteriales; Oscillospiraceae. The record is from RNAcentral.
ACGGGAGGCAGCAGUGGGGAAUAUUGGGCAAUGGGCGAAAGCCUGACCUAGCAACGCCGCGUGAAGGAAGAAGGCCUUCGGGUUGUAAACUUCUUUUACCAGGGACGAAGGACGUGACGGUACCUGGAGAAAAAGCAACGGCUAACUACGUGCCAGCAGCCGCGGUAAUACGUAGGUUGCAAGCGUUGUCCGGAUUUACUGGGUGUAAAGGGCGUGUAGGCGGAGCUGCAAGUCAGAUGUGAAAUCCCGGGGCUCAACCCCGGAACUGCAUUUGAAACUGUAGCCCUUGAGUAUCGGAGAGGCAAGCGGAAUUCCUAGUGUAGCGGUGAAAUGCGUAGAUAUUGGGAGGAACACCAGUGGCGAAGGCGGCCUGCUGGGCUUUAACUGACGCUGAGGCACGAAAGUAUGGGGAGCAAACAGGAUUAGAUACCCUGGUA